This is a long non-coding RNA of Eptesicus fuscus (big brown bat), 439 nucleotides long. RefSeq lists it as uncharacterized. The record is from RefSeq and is a predicted model, not a curated record. Lineage: Eukaryota; Metazoa; Chordata; Mammalia; Chiroptera; Vespertilionidae. The transcript is spliced from 2 exons.
GCUGGUGCCCUUCAGAUCGUCCAUGCAGGCAGAGAUCGCCUGCCAUUUGCUGGCCUUCAGUGCCGAACCUCAACCUGAGGCAACUCAACGGGAAGUCCGGGUGUCAGGCAGUCGUCUUGCUAUCCGCCUGAGUGCAGACAACAUGGACCAAAUGCGCCUUUCCAUCUCCUCCUGUCUCCAGGAGCUGUUCGUGCUGAUUGAAACCAUGCAGCACAUUUUGCCCCCAUUCUUUUUUGUCAGCCCCAGGACAAUGAAUGGGGGCUAAGGAUUAGAGGCCCUAUCGGUGCAUGCUUCCCUGAGGCAUGGAAUCCCACAGGAGCUGCCACAGCAUCAUGGGGGCCCAAGUGUUUACUUGUACUAGCCCUUCGGUACUCUCAUUUCUAGGGUUUCCCCAUAGGUAGAGGAGGGAGUCACAGCAAAAAAUACAAGUGAAUUCUUA